RNAcentral lists this long non-coding RNA (720 nucleotides) under Phoenix dactylifera (date palm). RNAcentral describes it as "long non-coding RNA (PDAC_LNC018942)". Lineage: Eukaryota; Viridiplantae; Streptophyta; Magnoliopsida; Arecales; Arecaceae. The record is from RNAcentral.
CGCUCUUAAUAUUUUCCCAAAGAGUAAAUAUUUUUCUAAGAUGUUAUUCUUAUACAUUUAAAUAUAGAAUUUUUUGCAUAAAUACCCUUCUAAAAAAUUCAAAUUUGUGUGAAUACCUUCUUAAAAUUUAUAUUUAUUUUUGUAACCUCAUAAAACGCUGUUUUUGCACAAAUGCCCCUAACAUAACAGUUCUUCUAACACCGUUAAUAAAAACUAUAUUUAUUUUAAUUAAAAAUAAAUAAAAUAAAAUAUUGAAAUUACUUUUUUGUCCUUCAUCACGAUCAUCUUAUAAAUAUUUAUUUUUGCAUACCUACCCAAUAAGGGUAUUUUAGUUAUUUUAAUUUAAAACUGUUAAUUUUUUAACGGUAUUAGAUAAUGUGGGUAUAUAUGCAAAAAUAAGGAUAAAAAAGGGUAGAAUAGCAAAACAAGUGUUUUACGAGGGUAUACAUGCAAAUAUUAAUUUUGGAAGGGUAUUCAUACAAAAUUUGAUAUUUAGGAGGGUGUCCAUACAAAAAAACUCUUAAGUAUAAUUAGGGGUUGCAGUUUUGACCUAGACCCUUUUACCAAAUCUGAUCCAAGUUAUAGCUGACCAAUCUAACCUGACCCAUUCAUUCCAUGAGUUGGAUAUGGAUUGGUCUUGCCUGACCAACAAAUGGGUCAGGUUAGGUUCAAGUUAAUGAGUCCUAACCCUUUUGAGUCAUUGUGCCUAGCCCAGAUAUC